GAUGAACGCUGGCGGCGUGCCUAAUACAUGCAAGUUGAACGCACAGCGAAAGGUGCUUGCACCUUUCAAGUGAGUGGCGAACGGGUGAGUAACACGUGGAUAACCUACCUCAAGGUUGGGGAUAACAUUUGGAAACAGAUGCUAAUACCGAAUAAAACUUAGUAUCGCAUGAUACCAGGUUAAAAGGCGCUACGGCGUCACCUAGAGAUGGAUCCGCGGUGCAUUAGUUAGUUGGUGGGGUAAAGGCUUACCAAGACAAUGAUGCAUAGCCGAGUUGAGAGACUGAUCGGCCACAUUGGGACUGAGACACGGCCCAAACUCCUACGGGAGGCUGCAGUAGGGAAUCUUCCACAAUGGGCGAAAGCCUGAUGGAGCAACGCCGCGUGUGUGAUGAAGGCUUUCGGGUCGUAAAGCACUGUUGUAUGGGAAGAACAGCUAGAGUAGGGAAUGACUUUAGUUUGACGGUACCAUACCAGAAAGGGACGGCUAAAUACGUGCCAGCAGCCGCGGUAAUACGUAUGUCCCGAGCGUUAUCCGGAUUUAUUGGGCGUAAAGCGAGCGCAGACGGUUAAUUAAGUCUGAUGUGAAAGCCCGGAGCUCAACUCCGGAAAGGCAUUGGAAACUGGUUAACUUGAGUGCAGUAGAGGUAAGUGGAACUCCAUGUGUAGCGGUGGAAUGCGUAGAUAUAUGGAAGAACACCAGCGGCGAAGGCGGCUUACUGGACUGUAACUGACGUUGAGGCUCGAAAGUGUGGGUAGCAAACAGG
Molecule: ribosomal RNA, 766 nt
Filed under: uncultured Leuconostoc sp.
Lineage: Bacteria; Bacillati; Bacillota; Bacilli; Lactobacillales; Lactobacillaceae
Description: bacterial SSU rRNA
Rfam family: Bacterial small subunit ribosomal RNA
Source: RNAcentral